UCCUACGGGAGGCAGCAGUCGGGAAUUUUGGGCAAUGGGCGAAAGCCUGACCCAGCAACGCCGCGUGAAGGAUGAAAUCCCUCGGGAUGUAAACUUCGCAAGAACGGGAAGAAUAAGAGGGGCCAACACCCCAAGCGAUGACGGUACCAUUUGUAAGCUCCGGCUAACUCCGUGCCAGCAGCCGCGGUAAUACGGGGGGAGCAA
RNAcentral lists this ribosomal RNA (204 nucleotides) under uncultured bacterium. RNAcentral describes it as "partial 16S ribosomal RNA". It matches the Rfam family "Bacterial small subunit ribosomal RNA", at positions 337 to 537 of the family's 1533-position model. The record is from RNAcentral.